Molecule: long non-coding RNA, 2461 nt
Organism: Pyrus x bretschneideri (Chinese white pear)
Lineage: Eukaryota; Viridiplantae; Streptophyta; Magnoliopsida; Rosales; Rosaceae
Exons: 2
Source: RefSeq, a predicted model, not a curated record
UUCAUAUGUGGAUUGGUUUACUAAAUAGUUGGUCAGACAAGUGUAAUGUGGUGUAUGGGUUAAGCCUAACAAAGUGUAGAUAGUUAGGCUGCUGCUACAACUACAAAUAUUCUGUUGUAACCUUUCACAUUCAUUCAUUACAAACUGUUCUUAUUUCUCUCUCUCCCUCUAGUUUUCUUCCGUUGUUCAUCUCUCUGAGAUUUCUGCAACCUUUACAUUAUUCUAGUUUCAAUUCAAUACUGUUAAUGUGGUAUCGAGCCAGAGCUCUUCUGUGGGAUUGUAGCUCCUGGAUUGGAAGUUUUCGAAGUUGACAUCUUUGGGGAUAUGGAUUCGUCUGGAGUGUUUCUGCAUCUGGGUUUCGAGUUCAAGAAUUGAAGAUUUUCUGGGUUUUUCUCCAAUGUUUCCUGCAAACUGUAUGGCUUUCUCAUCCAUUUCGGCGACUGUGACCACCAUUGCAAUCUAUGCUACAAAAGUGAGAUUUGAAGAAAUGUCAGUUUGUCCUCCUAAAUUUGUUCUAAAUACUGAAAUUGGUGUCACUAAGGAAGUCACAACAGCUUUUCAAGACAGGGAAACAACAUAUAUGGCAUUGUUGAGUCUAUUGAUUGCAACUUUGACAGAUGAUAUAAUUGAACAUGUUAUUGGAUGCAAAACAGCUCAUGGAGUGUGGACCAAUCUUGAAGAAAGAUAUGCCUCGGUUUAUAAAACGGAAAUCAUCUCAAGACUGAGUUACAUACAAUGCAAAAAUGAGGGGAUUCAAUGGAUAAGUACUUGCUAAGAAUCAAGUCUAUAAGGGAUCAACUGACUACUGCAGGAGAAUACAUCUCUGAUAAUGAUGUUAUGACUGCUAAAUUGGCAGGAUUACCAAAGGAAUAUGCAACUAUAUGAAUUGUGAUUCUUGCAAGAGAGUAUACUAUUUCAAUGAAGGAGUUCAGGGCACUUCUUUUAGGAGCUGAAAGAGAAAAUGAUGUGGUGGGUUUGACUCAUAAUAUGUCUGCUCUAUACAUGUAAGGAUCUUCUGCAAAUUCUCAAUAUCAAAAGGGAGCAUCUAGUUCCGAUUCUUCUGGUGUGGAAUCAUCAAGUACAGUAGGCAAAAUAACUUUAACUCAAUUGCCUGCAUUUGGUUCUCAACAAUCUGUGAACCAACAGCCAUAUUUUCCUGAUUCCUCAACAGGUUUUGCUGGAAUAAUGGAGCCUCCCAAUGAUGGGUUUUCUAGGCAAUCUUCUGCACCAUCAAACUACAUCGACAGUCAAUAAAGAUACUACAAUGGUAAUCACCAGAGAGGAGGUGGCAACUUUAAGUCUGGAUAUAGAGGAAAUGGGUCUAACAACAAUAGGCAUAAUGAUUGGUCUAGUAACACUGGUUUCAGAACUAAUCAACAACUUGAAUGCCAGAUAUGUCAGAGAAGCGUACACACUGCUCCAAAUUGAUUCUUCAGAAAUUCUCAAGGUCCUCCACAGGGAUAUAACACUUAAUGUCAAAUUUGUGGCAAAAGAGGGCACACUGCUCUAGAAUGUUUUCACAGAGGCAAUUAUUCAUAUCAGCCUUCUGGACCUCCACCAUAUAUGACUCAUUCCUUUCAAAAUCAAUUUCCUCCAGCUAUUCCAAAUCCACCCAACUUUGCUGUUCAUUAAUCAAAUUAGGUUCCUCGACAGCAAAUUCAUAUGCCAGAGGUUCCAUAUCAAGUUCCACUUCAAUGCAUGGGUUCUCUGCUCAAGGAUCAACAUCACAUUCCAAUCAACCAUCUUGGAUUUUGGACACAGCAGCUUCACAUCACAUGACAGCUGAUCUUGCAAGCCUUAAUCAAGUUGCAUCUUUUGAAGGUUCUGAGAAGAUAAAAAUAGGCAAUGGUCAAGGUUUACCUAUUAAGAAUUUUGGUUCCAUAGUUGUUAAAACACCAUCACGUUCAUUGGUUUUAAAGAAAGUGUUGCAAGUACCAUCAAUCACAGUUAAUCUCAUGUUUGUGCAACAAUUAUAUGGAGAUUUAAUUUCUUGUUUGUCUGUCAUGACACUAAUUUCUUUGUGCAAGACAAAGUGCCAAAGGUGAUCUUGUACAAAGGAAGGAGUAGACCUCAGCAACUGUUUCAGAUUCCUGUAUCUAUAAGAUAGUGUUCAAGUGCAUUUGUGGGAUAAUUGGUGAAGUCUUUAGCUUGACACCACAGAUUGAGGCAUCCAGCUAAUGAAAUAAUGUCAGUCAUGCUAGUUAAAUCUCAAAUUGCUGCUUCUAUAGAUGAUAGUCACUCAAUAUGUUCUGAUUGUAUCUAUGGACAAAUGACUAGGAAACCCUUCCCUAGUGACUCUUCUAGGUGUGUUUUAACAUUUGAUAGAAUUCACUUGGAUGUAUGGGGUCUUUCCUCUGGUCUAUAGAAGGUUACAGAUACAAUGUUGUAUUUGUGGAUGAUUGUACAAGAUUUCUGUUGUUAUUUCCACUUUUCAAUAAAUCAGAGGCUUUCUCCACUUUUA